RNAcentral lists this ribosomal RNA (375 nucleotides) under uncultured bacterium. Its description in RNAcentral is "bacterial SSU rRNA". It matches the Rfam family "Bacterial small subunit ribosomal RNA", at positions 521 to 896 of the family's 1533-position model. The record is from RNAcentral.
UAAUACGUAGGCAGCGAGCGUUGUUCGGAGUUACUGGGCGUAAAGAGUGUGUAGGCGGUGUCGUAAGUUCGGUGUGAAAUCUCCCGGCUUAACUGGGAGGGUGCGCCGGAAACUGCGAGACUCGAGUGCGGGAGAGGGAAGCGGAAUUCCUGGUGUAGCGGUGAAAUGCGUAGAUAUCAGGAGGAACACCUGCGGUGUAGACGGCUUCCUGGACCGUUACUGACGCUGAGACACGAAAGCGUGGGGAGCAAACAGGAUUAGAUACCCUGGUAGUCCACGCCCUAAACGAUGCAUACUUGGUGUGAGCCAUUCAGUUGGUUCGUGCCGGAGCUAACGCGUUAAGUAUGCCGCCUGGGGAGUACGGUCGCAAGGCUG